GGGCCCGCACAAGCGGUGGAGCAUGUGGUUUAAUUCGAUGAUACGCGAGGAACCUUACCAGGGUUUAAAUGCAGAACGACAGGGGUGGAAACACCCCCUUCUUCGGACGGACUGCAAGGUGCUGCAUGGUUGUCGUCAGCUCGUGCUGUGAAGUGUCGGGUUAAGUCCCAUAACGAGCGCAACCCUUGUCCUUAGUUGCCAGCACAUUAUGGUGGGAACUCUAAGGGGACUGCCGGUGAUAAACCGGAGGAAGGUGAGGACGACGUCAAGUCAUCAUGGCCCUUACGAGUAGGGCUACACACGUGCUACAAUGGGGAAUACAGACGGACGCUAAGCCGCGAGGUGGUGCU
RNAcentral lists this ribosomal RNA (350 nucleotides) under uncultured bacterium. Its description in RNAcentral is "bacterial SSU rRNA". It matches the Rfam family "Bacterial small subunit ribosomal RNA", at positions 917 to 1269 of the family's 1533-position model. The record is from RNAcentral.